UGGGGAAUCUUGCGCAAUGGGCGAAAGCCUGACGCAGCAACGCCGCGUGCGGGAAGACGGCCUUCGGGUUGUAAACCGCUUUCAGCAGGGACGAAAUUGACGGUACCUGCAGAAGAAGCUCCGGCCAACUACGUGCCAGCAGCCGCGGUAAGACGUAGGGGGCGAGCGUUGUCCGGAAUCAUUGGGCGUAAAGGGCUCCUAGGCGGUUCAGUAAGUCGACUGUGAAAAUCCAAGGCUCAACCUUGGGACGCCAGUCGAUACUGCUGUGACUCGAGUUCGGUAGAGGAGUGUGGAAUUCCUGGUGUAGCGGUGAAAUGCGCAGAUAUCAGGAGGAACACCAACGGCGAAGGCAGCACUCUGGGCCGAUACUGACGCUGAAGAGCGAAAGCAUGGGGAGCAAACAGGAUUAGAUACCCCCGUAGUCC
RNAcentral lists this ribosomal RNA (425 nucleotides) under uncultured prokaryote. Its description in RNAcentral is "bacterial SSU rRNA". It matches the Rfam family "Bacterial small subunit ribosomal RNA", at positions 355 to 796 of the family's 1533-position model. The record is from RNAcentral.